This is a long non-coding RNA of Arachis duranensis, 542 nucleotides long. RefSeq lists it as uncharacterized. NCBI's taxonomy places the organism in Eukaryota, Viridiplantae, Streptophyta, Magnoliopsida, Fabales, Fabaceae. The record is from RefSeq and is a predicted model, not a curated record. The transcript has 3 exons.
UAAUUUGUGUUCUAAUAAGUUCUAAUUUGUGUUUUAACAAAUAAUGCUUUAAUUUGGCAGCCUUUUCCAACUUUUGCUUGUCAAGCACAAGAUCAUGAUUCUUUUAACUUCUGUAACUUGCAGGUAUUGGAGGCAAGAGCUGGGUAUUAUGAAAAGCCAAUUGCUACAAUAGAUUUUGCAUCACUAUAUCCAUCUAUUAUGAUGGCCUAUAAUUUAUGUUAUUGUACCCUGGUGACUCCUGAAGAUGUUCGGAAACUUAAUCUCCCUCCAGAAUCAGUGAACAAAACUCCAUCUGGGGAAACAUUUGUUAAAUCAAAUUUGCAGAAGGCUAGUAUUGGAAUGGAUAACUUGAACGCUUAAUGCACAAAGUGGAGCAGUUUUAGGUUGAUUCUGAUCUUUUACUAAGUAUUUAGGCUGAUGAGCAUCUCUAUUAGUGUAAUUUGAAAUAUUGAGCAGUUUUAACUUGUAUUGUUUCUGUAUUUUUCUUCGAUUUUUAGUUUUGGAAUUUAAACUCGAAAUUUAUUUUGUAUUUGAAUAUUAGU